Molecule: ribosomal RNA, 357 nt
Filed under: uncultured Anoxybacillus sp.
Lineage: Bacteria; Bacillati; Bacillota; Bacilli; Caryophanales; Anoxybacillaceae
Description: bacterial SSU rRNA
Rfam family: Bacterial small subunit ribosomal RNA
Source: RNAcentral
ACGAGGGUGACAGGUGGUGGCAUGGUUGUCGUCAGCUCGUGUCGUGAGAUGUUGGGUUAAGUCCCGCAACGAGCGCAACCCUCGACCUUAGUUGCCAGCAUUCAGUUGGGCACUCUAAGGUGACUGCCGGCUAAAAGUCGGAGGAAGGUGGGGAUGACGUCAAAUCAUCAUGCCCCUUAUGACCUGGGCUACACACGUGCUACAAUGGGCGGUACAAAGGGUCGCGAACCCGCGAGGGGGAGCCAAUCCCAAAAAGCCGCUCUCAGUUCGGAUUGCAGGCUGCAACUCGCCUGCAUGAAGCCGGAAUCGCUAGUAAUCGCGGAUCAGCAUGCCGCGGUGAAUACGUUCCCGGGCCUU